GGAGGAGUACCCAAGUGGCUGAAGGGGACGGUUUGCUAAAUCGUUAGAUCGGAGAAAUCCGGUGCGAGAGUUCGAAUCUCUCCUCCUCCGCCA
RNAcentral lists this transfer RNA (93 nucleotides) under Candidatus Saccharimonadota bacterium. RNAcentral's name for it is "tRNA-Ser". It matches the Rfam family "tRNA". Rfam says of the family: Transfer RNA (tRNA) molecules are approximately 80 nucleotides in length. Their secondary structure includes four short double-helical elements and three loops (D, anti-codon, and T loops). The record is from RNAcentral. Lineage: Bacteria; Candidatus Saccharimonadota. RNAcentral also lists the same sequence under 1 other name.